Pelobates cultripes (western spadefoot toad) is the source of this 89-nucleotide non-coding RNA. The record is from the annotation of a GenBank genome assembly. NCBI's taxonomy places the organism in Eukaryota, Metazoa, Chordata, Amphibia, Anura, Pelobatidae.
UCAUAUGAUCAACGUUUCGACCCCUCAGGGUCUUCCUCAAGAUCCAGGAAGACCCUGAGGGGUCGAAAUGUCGAUCAGAUGAUGUAAAC